This 337-nucleotide ribosomal RNA is filed under the name uncultured Methanomicrobiales archaeon. RNAcentral's name for it is "bacterial SSU rRNA". It matches the Rfam family "Archaeal small subunit ribosomal RNA", at positions 1002 to 1338 of the family's 1478-position model. The record is from RNAcentral. Lineage: Archaea; Methanobacteriati; Methanobacteriota; Methanomicrobia; Methanomicrobiales.
CGUCAGUUCGUACUGUGAAGCAUCCUGUUAAGUCAGGCAACGAGCGAGACCCACGCCAACAGUUGCCAGCUCGUCCUCCGGGAUGGUGGGGACACUGUUGGGACCGCCUCUGCUAAAGAGGAGGAAGGAAUGGGCAACGGUAGGUCAGCAUGCCCCGAAUUAUCUGGGCUACACGCGGGCUACAAUGGGUGGGACAAUGGGUAUCGACACCGAAAGGUGAAGGCAAUCUCCUAAACCCAUCCGUAGUUCGGAUUGUGGGCUGCAACUCGCCCACAUGAAGCUGGAAUCUGUAGUAAUCGUGUCUCAAAAUGGCACGGUGAAUAUGUCCCUGCUCCUU